RNAcentral lists this transfer RNA (72 nucleotides) under Schistosoma mansoni. The record is from RNAcentral. Lineage: Eukaryota; Metazoa; Platyhelminthes; Trematoda; Strigeidida; Schistosomatidae.
ACUAAUUAGCUGAGUGGAUAACGUGAUAGCUUUUUAAGCGAAAGGUACUUGAUUCGAGUCCCCGAGUAAACA